RNAcentral lists this ribosomal RNA (447 nucleotides) under uncultured Bacillota bacterium. RNAcentral's name for it is "bacterial SSU rRNA". It matches the Rfam family "Bacterial small subunit ribosomal RNA", at positions 357 to 795 of the family's 1533-position model. The record is from RNAcentral. Lineage: Bacteria; Bacillati; Bacillota.
GGGAAUCUUCCGCAAUGGGCGCAAGUCUGACGAAGCAACGCCGCGUGAGUGAGGAAGGCCCUUUGGGUUGUAAAGCUCUGUUGCCGGGGAAGAAAGUUAGUGUAAGGAAAUGUGCAUUAAUUGACGGUACCUGGUGAGGAAGCACUGGCUAACUACGUGCCAGCAGCCGCGGUAAUACGUAGAGUGCAAGCGUUGUCCGGAAUCAUUGGGCGUAAAGGGUACGCAGGCGGAUAUACAAGUCAAAUGUGAAAGGUGUAGGCUUAACCUACAGACUGCGUUUGAAACUGUAUAUCUUGAGAGCAGCAGAGGAAGGCGGAAUUCCUGGUGUAGUGGUGAAAUACGUAGAUAUCAGGAAGAACACCAGUGGCGAAGGCGGUCUUCUAGGCUGCAUCUGACGCUCAUGUACGAAAGCUGGGGCAGCGAAUGGGAUUAGAUACCCCAGUAGUC